CAUCAUCUUAAUUUUGGAAGGCAUCUAUUUUUUUUUGAGAUUAUUUCAAGUCAAUUAAAAAAUUAUUAGUGUUAUUCAGAUAUGAUCUCAAUUUUUUUUCAUUGAAUUCUCUAUCAAAAAUCAUACCAAAAUUUAUCUAAACUCUACAUGAUCAUCUCAAGUCGAUACAAGUAUUUUUAAUUUUUUUUCUUUUAAUUUUUUUCUUAUUUUUGAAUUAUUCUUUCAUCGCCUGAUUUUUUACUGGAUGGGAUGACCCAUGGGGCGUCCCAAUUGAUCGGAUAAGCGGAUUUUAUAUAGGCCGACCUGUUUAAUUUUCUCACUUAAAACCUAAGUGGGGCGACGCAAUUACUAUUCUUCUUCCUUCUCUUCUCGUCUCAUACCGAAUCCUUCUUCAAACACUCCACCGACCACAAUCUCCCAAAUCCAUCCCCUUAUCCAUCCAAAAAUCUCUGAUUUCUAUCUCAAAAUAUAGGGUAAACACAUCCUCUCGGCAUAUCUUUGAUCAAAACCCUCUCCUUCUUGCUCUCCUUCUUUGAUCAAAACCCUUUCGGCAUAUCUUUGAUUCAAAUUCAUUUAAGAAUAUUUGGUAGUGUUCUGGUAAGUUUCAAAUCUUAAAUGUAUAAAAAACUGAGUUGGAACAAAAUGAAGUGACCCAACUAGGUCAUCCUCUUUUAUUGGGUAGCCGGUACGUACUGUUUUUGGCUUGUGGCAUGCAGUGGGACAAUCCAUGGGAUGACCCCUGAGACCCUGAGACCAAAACAAAGAGUCUGUUUUUUAGACUGGCCAAAUGAGGCGACCCAUGGGCCUUCUCAGUCGCAGUGGGACGAUCCAUGGGACGUCCCAUUCUGGACGAACCUCGUAACGACUAGUUUUCAACCCAUUUUUAGUGCAUUUAAUGCACAUUAAACACUCUCCAACAGCUCUUAACCGACACUAAGACACUCUCAAGUCCAAAUGGAGGCUAUAAAUGCCCUCUAGAGGUGGAAAAUCAAUCAGGAUUUAUAUAUUCAAGCUCACAUUCGGGAAAAGAAAAGAAAAAUCUAGAAAGAGAGGAAAGAAGCAUUCAACAGCUCACCAACCACUCUCCAGCUGCAUUCAAGUAUGCCAAUCAUUUGAUGGUGUUCAGCAAAUGCUUCUUCUCCUUAAGUAUUAUAUUUUUAUUGCAUUUAUUGUGCUUAUUUAAGGGGCUGUUGUGCUGAAAUUCCUAUACACUAUUCACUUGCUAUUGUAUUUUGAGUUUUGAAUUUUGAAGGAUUCCAAAACUCAGAUAGGUUGAUCCGAAUCUGAAAUCGGAGUGUGUGUGGAUGGACUUAUAUCUGAAAAAUAAGUGUUCUUGCUUGGAUAGCAAGGGUCGGUGUUAUCUAAUGUUUUGUAUCUUGUAAUCCUUUUAGUGGAUUGAAUUCUCAAGUAGAGACUUGAGGAGUGGAUGUAGAUGAAAGGUUGGCACCGAAUUACUAUAAAUCUUUUGUGUUUGUUGUGCUUGCAUCUCUUUAUUCAUUCAUUGUGCUUUAUCCUUGCUUUCUUAUUAUUUGCAGUUGAUUUCAUUUUCUUAGCUAAUCAAUUCACUCCACUCAAUAAGUAUAGCACAUUACUUGAGUGCACUAAACACAAAAUUUUAAAAAGACCAUUCAUCCCCCUUCUUGGGCUCCAUAUUUGGACAACAAUAUAUAUGUAUAUAUGUAUAUAUAUGUAUGUAUAUGUGUAUAUAUAUAUAUGUAUGUAUAUAUAUGUAUGUAUAUAUAUAUAUGUGUGUAUGUAUGUGUGUAUGUAUGUAUGUAUACGUGUGUAACUUUUCAAAGUUACUGAAGAGCGCAGAAUUCAGCGUACCUACUAGAAGUUAACAAGGUGGCUGGUGAUUUAGCUGGUCUUGGUAAAGCUACGAGAUUUGGUAUAAAGUGGGAUCUGACAAUUACAUUGCUCUUAAUGUGUUAAACCUUUUGUCCUUGGACCACUAAGCAUGUUUGUAGGAGCACCUUAAAUAGUGAUUGUAGUAACCAUUUAUGCAAUCAAAGUAAGAAAAGAAAAGAAAAAAGGUCUAAUUAAAGCAUAUGAAUUGAAUUUAAUUCAAAUAAUCACAAAUCUAGGCUAAAAUCUAUUCGACCAUAUAGCAAGUUUGAAUUGAAUUUGGUUCAUACUUCGUCAGAAAUGGAUUAAAGCAUUAGAAUUUAAAUUCAAUAUAAUCUCAAUUGAGCUUGAUUUGAGCUUAAUUCAAAACAAGCUCAAUUCAAGCUUCCCAGAUUAAUUGACAAUCAUAAGAGUACUUUAUUUUCAAUUCAAUCCAUUUUGAUAAAAGUUAACGUAUAGAUGCCUAGAUCCGACUGUCUUAGUUAUAUGAAAUAAAUCUCAUCUACUUUUUUAUAUUUUAUCAAUUAAGGAUAUGCUUUGCUUGCUUCAAAAAUAGGAAAAAAUGAAAUAAAAUAGUUAUUAUCUUUGUUGGACUUUAAUUUCUAGAAUUGUGAGGAUGCCAACUAAUUUAGUUGGUAAAGUUGCUAGUGCCUUGAUAUAAAAGGCUCAGGUUUGAUUUAUAUGAUCACCCCAAUUUUUUAUUAGACUUUCUCCCUUCUUAAUUAUCAAAAAUGAUUAUAAAGAGUUAUAUUAGAUCAAGGAUCAAAGCAGUUAAUUACAAUUCAUAUACAAUGUCUUUGCACCUCAUCUAACCUGGAGGGCUCAUGUUGGGUGGCAUGUUCAUGUGGAUACUUGGUUCUAAUCGAGGCUAUAUUGAGGCAAAUCUCAUCCAUCAGUUGUAUCACACUUUACCCAUUAGGUGUGGGGCAUAUCUACUUCAACAAUAGGAAAAAGUUGAAUAGGAAUUGUUUUACUCCUAGCCAAACAACCGUGCCAUAAAUUACUUCUAUUUUCACUUACUGCAAUUUUUGGAAUUGUCAUGCCCCCGACUCGAGAUAUGGACCACGGGUCAUGGCAACUGCCGUACACUUACGAAGAACUCUUCUCCAUAAGCAUUCAAAGCAUUUCAUGACAAUAUCAAUGCAUCACAGCAGAUAAAAUUUAAAUACUUAUUGUUCAACUUUAACUCAAAUAACUAAAUUAAAUAUCUUACAUCUAAUAAAGUUUUACUAAAAAUAAUACAAAAUAAAUUAAAGUUCAAAGAAAUUGACAAUGUUAAAUCUCGCUUUUAAAAGCUCUCUCCCAAAAUUAAUAUCCAAGCUCGUAAUUAAUUAUCUGAAUCUGAAAAAUAAAAAGAGAGGUAAUGAGCUAGACAGCCUAGUAAGUAAUAAAUAUCUCAACGAGACAUUCCAAAUAUUAUCAUAUAGUAUGAUGUUCAAAAACAAUGCCAUAAAUAACAUAAAGACAUAUUUUAUACUUAUUUAAAUAAAAUUANNNNNNNNNNNNNNNNNNNNNNNNNNNNNNNNNNNNNNNNNNNNNNNNNNNNNNNNNNNNNNNNNNNNNNNNNNNNNNNNNNNNNNNNNNNNNNNNNNNNNNNNNNNNNNNNNNNNNNNNNNNNNNNNNNNNNNNNNNNNNNNNNNNNNNNNNNNNNNNNNNNNNNNNNNNNNNNNNNNNNNNNNNNNNNNNNNNNNNNNNNNNNNNNNNUUAUAUAUAUAUAUAUAUAUAUAUAUAUAUAUAUAUAUAUAUGAUCAUAAAUUCGAUUCAAGUCAAAAUACACAUAGCUCAACAGCCUUUGACUAUAGCCAACUUUUACCCCCAUUUGUCAAAAACCAAUGCACUAUCCCUAUUGGCAAGAUCGAAAAUCAAUGCACCACCUCCAUUGGCAGGGUCCAAAAUCAACGUAUAACCCCCAUUGGCAAGGUUGAAAACCAACAUAUAAUCCCUAUUGACGAGGCCCACUGAAACAUAGUUAGGUUGAGAGCACAAUUUCGAUCCGUAUCAAAACACAUUUGUAACAUAAUAUAUAGAUAUCAUGCUUUCACUGAACAUACGCAUAAUCAUAUUAUUUUAAAAAUUACUUUCCAUUCAAAACAUAAUUUCAUAAAUAAUGCAUAAUUCAAAUAUCAGUAUUUACUUUCAAAAUAAUUAUGAAAUAUCUCGAGAAAAUAGUUCAUUACUUACCUCUUCAAAAUAUUGAACGGACAGAAUCAAUCAAAUCCUGAAAACAUCCUUCAAAACCUAUUAUUCAAAAUUAUAUACUUACAUUAAUUCUAAUUUAUAACUAAAUCAAAAUAAAAUCUCGAAUCAAAAUCUCACUUAAAAUCGAAUCCUUCACUAAGUUCGAUCAAAAUCAUUAAAAGAAAGUCCUUCAUUGGGCUAAUCUUGGAAAGAUAACUUCUAAAAAAAAAAUCUAUCAAUAGAGAAAAUCAAUCUAGAAAGAGAAUUUUAGAGAAAGAAAGUUUGUAGAAGGAGAAAUUAGAGAGAAAAUUGGCUUUCUAGAUAGAGAAAGUAUGGAUUCAACUUAGAACAAGGAGAGAGAGAAGAGGGAAAAAUUCUCUCUCUAUUUUUUUUUUACUUUUUCUUUUUCUCUUUUUUUUUCCACGAAAACAAAGGACCCGCACAUCCUCUUCCCCUUCUACACGGAAUAGGGGAAGUCUUCCUCCCCCUUGUUCUCAAAGCCAAGAUGGCUUCCUUCCCAUCGAUAAGGCUCGCAGCCUGAGGAGCAGGGCAUGGCAAGGACUGGUGGCCCGAUCCGACGAUCGGUGACAGUAACUGGUAAUAAAAACCAAAAACAAAUAGGGAAAAAUAGGAAACUUAGAAAACAAAAAUUUCAAGGGAUUUUCAAUAGAAAAAUUUGGCAAAACUUAUGUUUAAGACUUACAAAAGAUUAAGAAGGAGAUAUAGAGGAGAUUUACCUAGUUUUUGAUUGGUUUUGAUCAAAUUUUUGAUGGCUAUAGCAUGGGUAAACCACCAACAAUCGAGAAGAAAGAAAGGGAAAAAAAUAAAAGCAGUGAAUCUUGAUGAUUUUCAUUGAGGAAAAUCAGAGGGAUUGGAGCCUUUAAAUAGGUUUCAAUGGAGAGGAUUUUGAGUUUAAUUCCUUCUCAAUUUCAAUGGAGAGGAUUUUGAGUUUAAUUCCUUCUCAAUUUCUUAAGGAUUUUAGGAUUGCUUUUCUGAGAAGAACUCCUUCGGGAGUUCAGGCACACAAUCCCCUUUCCACGCUAAUUUCCAGCACAUGCGUUGCACGUGCUCGCUCAAAUUUUAAAUUUUUUUCUACACUUUGAGAUUUGUGCUGUAGGACUGGGUAUUACAUUCUAUCCCCUUAAAAUAAAUUUUGUCCUCGAAAUUUUUCUUACCUAUACUUUCAAAAGAUAGAGAUUCACAAUUCUAAUAUCAUCCUCAACCUUUCGUUAUUCUUAAUUAUCGAUGCAAAUGCAUCACUAAAAUAUUGCACAAAGGAAAGAUCAAUAUCUUAAGAGUAGAUCUGAAUCAGAACCAUUCAUUCUUUAUAUUCAAAAUCAAUAUCUUAAUUCUAGAUAAAGACAUUAAGUUCUUCGUCAAAAUACAUCUAUAUUUGUCUUAAUCGAUCUAUCACAAGAUUAUGAGCUAACUUUAAUAUGCUCACAAUAGAUAGACAUUCAAGUAUAAAAUCUAGGAUCGAUAGACAAUCUUAAAUUCUUUAUAACAGAUAGAGAGACAUAUACUUCAAAUCUAUGAGAAAAGAAAUCUAUUACUAAAUAAUUCAAUUCCAAAAUCAAGAACCAAUGGUCCAUUCAUCCUAGUCCUAAGAUGCCAAAAAUUUCUUUAGUAUCGUCAAUAGAAGAUCUACUUAUGAAAAUCACAUAUCGACAUCCAAAAUAGUCCCAAAUCAAAAAUAUUAUCCUUUUCAUUAUCAAUGAAUUUCUCCUAUAAGGAAUACCAAAUCAUGUCAUUUAUCAUAAACUUUUAGCCAUAAAAAAAAAUCAAUAUAUUGCUGACAAGCUCAAAAUAAUCCAAAUCACCAUGCUUUCACUGUGCACUUUGAUUUAACCAUCAAAAUUUCUCUGAACAUAAUAAAAUAUUUUCAAUUAAAAUAUUACUUUGUAUUAAGAAAAUCUCAAAAUUUAACUUCUAGGUAGGUCGAAAGAAACUUUCAAGUCUUAUCCCUAAUAUGCAUCAAGCACAUUUAUCUAAAUCAGUCUUUAAAUCCAAUAUCAUGCUCAAAAUCAUCGUAUAGGUUUACUAUAAUUCAAUAUAAAUUACAUCUUAAUUCUCGUAUCAAUUCAAUUUGACAGUUCCAAAUAAAAAAGCAUGUAACUAAGAUCAAUAAGAAAAUCUUCUGAUGCUCUAUCAAGUUGAGACUUAAUUCAAAACAUAUAGGUAGAACCAACUCAAUCAUCUUUUCUAAAGUUUCUUUUAUCUUAAACAUCUAUCAAAAUACAUUCCACAACAAUUAUGCAAGUCUUUUAAAAUCAAAUCUCCAUACAAUACAAGAUUUUGUCAAGGAUCUCAAUAAUAAAGAUAAAAGAACUCCAAAUCAGUUCAUGAACCAAAAAUUUUGAAUUGCAAUUUCAUAAUUAUCCCAAAAUCUCAAAUAGAUAUAAAUAAAAUCUGAUUUUUUUUUUAAAUCUUGAUCAUCCAAAAAUAGCAAUCAAGAAUCUCACUAGCAACCUCAACACUAAUAUAGAAAAUUCCUUGAUCAAUUUAUAAUCCCAAACUUUGAAUUAAAGUUUCAUGUACACCAUAUAGUCUCUAACAUAAAUGAGAUCUAUUAUUUGGUCUCAAGGAUAAUAAUUAAAAUUAUUAAUGACUACCAAGAUGAAUAGUCUCAAACUUCAAGGUAAAAUCAAUUUCUUCAAUAGAUCAAUUAGCAAUGUCCCAAAAUAAAAUUUUCUUUUGCAUGCAAGCUUCAUACAUGACCCACAUUCCAGUGCAAACCUCAAAGAAUAUUACAAUAAAAUAUCAUGAAAGAUCUUUUUAGUCCAAUAUGAAACAUCUUAUAAACAAAUCUUUAUCUUGCUACUAAAUAAUAAAUUUUAAAAUCGAGAGCAACAUCACAGUAUUCUUUCAUAUCAAAUUUAAGCUUGUAAUUUACUUUAGCAACUGAUGAUCAAAUUAAUAAUCUCAAUGCACAAUAAAAUUUCAUAACCAAUAUUUUUAUAAUUUUUUUAGAUCAAAAUCCAACAAAUCAUAAUAUGAUCCAUAGAUUGUCCAUUAUAUAUCAAACCCUCUAAGUCAUUAUUCCUAAAUAAUCCUUUCAUUCAUAAUUACAAGAUUUUGUCAAAAAUCAUGAAGAUAACUUACACUACAAUCAUCAUCAAUCUACAUCCCAAUGCCCCUAGUGUCUAUCCACCUACACUCAUCCUAUAUCUGUUUCUAUUUAUCAUAAUUUAUCCACUUAUACUCUGAUACCAUAUUAAUUACUCUAAUAUUAUAUUAAUUGUUAUGCCUCCGAUCUGAAAUAUAGAUCAGCGAUCAUGACAACCGCCACAUAUUUAUGAAGAACUCUUCCCCAUAAACAUACAAGGCAUCUCAUGACGACAUCAAUGCAUCACAGUAGAUAAAAUUUAAAUACUUGUUAUUCAACUUUAACUCAAAUAACUAAAUCAAAUGUCUUAUAUCUAAUAAAAUUCUACUAAAAAUAACAUAAAAUAAAUCUAAGUUCAACGAAGUUGACAAUGUUAAAUCUCGUCUCUAAAAGCUCUCUCAAAAUUAAUGCCCGCACUCAUAAUUAAUUAUCUGAAUCUGAAAAAUAAAAAGAGAGAUAAUGAAUAUCUCAACUAGACAUUCCAUAUAUUAUCAUAUGAUAUUAUGUUCAAAAAUAAUACCAUAAAUAACACAAAGACAUAUUUCAUGCUUACUUAAAUAACAUAAAUAUUUUUAAAUAUUCAUAUAUAUAUAUAUGAUCAUAAAUUUGAUUCGAGUCAAAACACACAUAGCUCAAUAACCUUGACUAUAGCCAACAUUUAUCCCGAUUAGUGGGGUCGAAAAUCAAUGCACUAUCCCCAUUGGCAGAGUCGAAAACUAAUGCACAACUCCCAUUGGCAGGAUAGAAAACCAAUGUAUAACUCCAUUGACAUGGUCAAAAACCAAUGUAUAAUCUCUAUUGAUGGGACCCAUUGAAAUAUAGUUAGAUUUAGAGCAUAAAUUCGAUCUGUAUCAAAAUACUUUUGUAAUAUAACAUAUAGAUAUCAUACUUUCCACUGAACAUAUUCAUAAUCAUAUUAUUUUAGAAAUUACUUUCCAUUCAAAACACAAUUUCAUAAAUAAUGCAUAAUUCAAAAAUCAAUACUUGCUUUCAAAAUAAUUAUGAAACAUCUCAAAAAGAUAGUUCAUUACUUACCUCUUCAGAAUAUUGAAUGGACAUAAUCAAUCAAAUCCUGAAAGCAUGCUUCAGAACCUAUUAUUCAAAAUUAUAUACUUAUAUCAAUUCUAAUUUAUAACUAAAUCAAAAUAAAAUUUCAAAUCAAAACUUCACUUGAGAUCGAACCCUUCACUAAACUCGAUCAAAAUCAUCAAAAGAAAGUCCUUCAUUGGACUAAUCUUAGAAAGAUAACUUCUAGAGAGAAAAUUCCAUUAAGAGAGAAAACAAUCUAGAGACAGAAAAUUUUAGAGAGGGAGAAAUUAGAGAGAGAAAGUUGGCUUUCUAGAUAGAGAAAGUAGAGAUUCAACUUAGAAUAGGAAGACAGAGAAGAUGGAGAAAUUCUCUCUUUUUUUUUCUUUUUCUUUCUUUUUUUUUCUUUUUUUUUCCCUAUGGGAACAAUGGACCUACGCAUCCUCUUCCCCUUCUUCACGGAACAGAGAAGGUCUUCCUCCCCCUUGUUCCCGAAGCCAAGAUGGCUUCCUUCCCAUUGGCAAGGCUCACAGCUAGAGAAGCAGGGCAAGGUAGGAACCAGUGGCCUUGGUCCGGUGACCAGUGAUGGCAACCAACGACAAUAACCAAAAACAAAUAAGGGAAAAUAGAAAACUCAAAAAACAACAAUUUCAAGGAAUUUUUGAUAGAAAAAUUUGACAAAACUCAUGCUUCAGACUUACAAAAGAUUAAGAAGGUGAUAUAAAGGAGAUUUAUCUAGUUUUUGAUUGGCUUUGAUCAAAUUUCCGAUGGCUACGGCAUGGGUAAACCACCAGCAAUCAGGAAGAAAGAAAGGGGGGAAAAAAAGAGCAAUGAUUUUCGUUGAGGAAAAUCAAAGAGAUUAGGGCCUUUAAAUAAGUUUCAAUAGGAAGGAUUUUGAGUUUCCUCUUUCCACGCUAAUUUCCAGCACCUGCAUUGCACAUGCUGGCCCAAAUUUUAAUUUUGUUUCUAUAUUUUGAGAUUUGUGCGGUAGGACUGGAUAUUAUAGGAAUAAUAUUAGAUCCGAGAGAAUUGAAUUUUUUCUUUAAUCCUACGGAGUUCCAAACCGCAAAGCCCUGCCCACUCCCUCACAAUUUUUAACCCAAUACCCCGUCUUAUCCUGCCAGAUUUUACUAAACAGUCCCUGAGUGUUUUCAUCCACAAAAAAAAAAAAAAAAAAAAGAGAGAGAGAAAUGAUGGCCGCAUGACAAGAAAAACUGACGAUGACUUUCCUCUCAUGAAACAGCUAGCUAUAGGUGGCAUAAAUAAUGUUCACUUGCAUAUUUCCUUGUUAAUUUCUCUUUCUCAGAAGCUAUUUGUCAGAGGAGAUGAGCCACGCUGAAAAUUAAAUAUUUAAGCUAUGGAACAUUUGGCUUUGUAAAUAAUUAAACAUCAUAUGUUGAUAUAGCUGCUGUUAGUUCUGGUAACAGUUAACAGUAAAAGUGGUUACAAAAUUAUUUUCUAACCCAAGGUCCUAAAUGAGAUGUUUCAAGCAUGAUCAAAAUGAACGGGCCCUUUUUCCCUUUCCUUUGUUUCCCCAUCUUGUUACUGCCAUACCCUGCAGGUGUUGCGUUAUUAGUUACAAAACUCUUCCACUUCAAAGAGUCUGAACUUACAGAUGGAGCUUAAAAUGAACAUCCAUGAAUCAACAAAAGGUUAUGAAGAAAAGGACUUCGAUAUAAAGCCGUAGUCAAUGUACUACAAUUCAUACCAAAGGUUGUUACAAUGAUUUCAUAACCAAGUUUAGUAUGUUAAUACUAGUGAAUAGAAUAAAUAGUAUUUGAGGCAUAAAAAAACUG
Molecule: long non-coding RNA, 9951 nt
Filed under: Elaeis guineensis (African oil palm)
Lineage: Eukaryota; Viridiplantae; Streptophyta; Magnoliopsida; Arecales; Arecaceae
Description: long non-coding RNA (EGUI_LNC049646)
Source: RNAcentral